GAGUAACACGUAAGUAACCUACCCCAGAGACAGGGAUAACCCUAGGAAACGAGGGCUAAUACCAGAUGAACUCCGCGAGGAGUAAAGGCUCCGGCGCUCUGGGAGGGGCUUGCGGCCCAUCAGCUAGUUGGUAGGGUAAAGGCCUACCAAGGCGAAGACGGGUAGGGGGUGUGAGAGCACGACCCCCCACAAUGGGACUGAAACACGGCCCAUACUCCUACGGGAGGCAGCAGCAGGGAAUAUUGCACAAUGGGCGAAAGCCUGAUGCAGCGACGCCGCGUGAGUGAAGAAGGCCUUCGGGUCGUAAAGCUCUUUUGUAGGGGAAGAGGAAGGACGGUACCCUGAGAAAAAGCGUCGGCUAACUACGUGCCAGCAGCCGCGGUAAGACGUAGGACGCGAGCGUUAUCCGGAAUUACUGGGCGUAAAGGGCCAGCAGGCGGCUAGGUAAGUUGUGCGUGAAAGCCUCGUGCUCAACGCGAGGAAGCCGGACAAUACUGUCUAGCUGGAGGGCAUCAGAGGGGAGUGGAAUUCCCGGAGUAGCGGUAAAAUGCGCAGAUAUCGGGAGGAACACCGAUGGCGAAGGCAACUCCCUGGGGUGUACCUGACGCUAAGUGGCGAAAGCUAGGGGAGCGAACAGGAUUAGAGACCCUGGUAGUCCUAGCUGUAAACGCUGGGUGCUAGGUGUGGGGCGUAGAAGCUCUGUGCCGGAGCGAACGCGAUAAGCACCCCGCCUGGGAACUACGGUCGCAAGGCUAAAACUCAAACGAAUUGACGGGGCCCCGCACAAGCAGCGGAGCGUGUGGUUCAAUUCGAUGCUACACGAAGAACCUUACCUGGGUUUGACAUGUACGUGGUAGAGAAGCGAAAGCGGAUUGACCCUUCGGGGAGCGUACACAGGUGCUGCAUGGCUGUCGUCAGCUCGUGCCGUGAGGUGUCGGGUUAAGUCCCGUAACGAGCGCAACCCUUGCCCUUAGUUACAAGUGUCUAGGGGGACUGCCGGCGGGAAGCCGGAGGAGGGUGGGGACGACGUCAAGUCAGCAUGGCCCUUAUGUCCAGGGCU
Molecule: ribosomal RNA, 1060 nt
Filed under: uncultured organism
Description: bacterial SSU rRNA
Rfam family: Bacterial small subunit ribosomal RNA
Source: RNAcentral